AGAAGUGGAUUGGGAUUGUCUAAGAAGUGCAAACAGAAAACCCCUGGAAGCUAUUAAACCUCCAUGUUACACAUUUUAAUUUAAAGUGAUGAUGUUUAAUUUUAGCAAGUCUCUAUGAAACUUGAACUCUGGAGAUAAAAGACCCCGUUGAGCUAAAACAUGGAGAAAAUGUAUCACACUCCAGACCACAGAGGGAAACAGAAUUCUCAAAGUCACAGGGAAGAAUAGUUGAACAACACAUAACAGGAUAGGAAAGUUCAAAUCACAAAGGAAUGAAGGGAAAAUGAAAAUGCUUAUUUAAAAUCAAACACCCUAACCUGGGCUCUCAGUGACUCCCAAAUGUACCUCAUUCAGCUUUCAAUUAACAAAGGGGAAAGAGAUGGAACAAUUUACCUCUUGAAGUGCCAAUAACUUUUUAUGAAUUGUAUUUCUUCCAUUUAGGAUGGAAGUCUGAGAUAUUUCAUAUCCUUAAACAGAAUCUGUUCUAUGGAUAACUGUCAAAAUAUAACAUCAAUUAUAAUGCUGUUAUACUCACAGGUAUUAUUGGUGCUGCUUUUCUUUACAUAGAAUGGCUUUAGACCCAGUGAUUUUAAAGUUCUUGUUUCUGACUUAACAGCUCAUGCUCUCUACUACAUCGAAGAUGGAAGAGUUAUUCCUUGCAAUUCUUGAUGUGGCAGCCUCUAGUAGCUUGUCUCACCUUUCAUAUAUGAUAUGUUAAAUUAAGCUGAGAAACUAGACAACUGAAGUUCUAAUAAGUAUAUAAAAAAACAAAAGUAAGUAGUCUCAGAAUAAAAGCAAAAGAAGUCUUAUUUCAGUUUCCAGGGUUUGAAUUCUCAGCAUUUGGGUUGUUAGAUCAUUUUGGUUUCUGCUACAGUUUGUAUAAUUAAAGUUGACCAUGUAAGUAGCACAUGGAGGUAUAACUCUAUCAAGAUUUGGAGAAAGAACCAAAAAGGAAGGAGUUCUAUGCCUGGGAGAAAGAUACCUGGGCUGUAUAGAAUUUCUCAUGGUUGUGGGAAGUUGAACCCAUCCUUAUUAUCAAUUGACAUUAAAACCCUUUUGAUGAUCUUUUGUUACAUAUAAGACACAAAUCACAGGAGUAACUAGUGCCCUCAUACUUGAGUCAUUAGACCCAUCACUGGCCAGCUUACUCAGCAUCCAACCCAGAUGAAAAAAAGGCUUCUGUAUCAGGCUUGCCAUAGCACAGCUUGUCAUAUUAUUAUUUUGACUUAAAAAUUAAACAAUAACAAUGAAGAACAAAAGCCUUUUAGUGGUUGCUAUUUUCUUCAGAAUAAAAUCAAAUGUCUUAGUAUAGUAUUUAAAUACCUGGUGUCAUGGUUGGAUUCCAGUCUACCUUUGCAUGUACCCUCCAUGACUUCCUUUUCUGACAAAUAGCAAAACCCACCUAUACUCACAUCAGACUAAGCCAUGUCCUCCCAGGUACACAGCUUUUCCACCUCUGCUUCCCAGGCUUCCCUCCAAUUCUGCAGCUCCACAUCUCACAUAUUCCUCUGGGCUCAAGAAACUCCUCCCCCACCUGAAUGUCCAUGAUACAUGAUCUGUCCUUCUAAUAUAAAACAUAUCUCUCUUCACCUUAUAGUACUCAGGACUCCUCUGUCCUGUUAGAUUUUAGGCUCCCCAAGAGUGUGAUAUGAACUGGAUUUCUUUUGACAUCACGCACAGGUUCCUGACCCACAGCAGAGACUCAAUAAGUAUGUACUGAAAGAAUGAGUGAGGCAAGGAGAGGGUCUGAUAUGGCUUAUUUCCAUCUAGGAAGAACUGAAGAUACUAUUUUAAAAAUACUUUUAAAAGGGAAGGCAGGGAAAGUAUAAGGUGAGGCUGGGAUAUCUUCUUGUACUAGAAAACAAAGAAGCAUUCCUUGACUAAUAGGGAUCUGCCAAAAGGACACAAGUGUCAUCAUGAAGAGGCUCCCUUUCGGCAAAUGUGGGAAAUACAAGCACUAAAAAAGAAUUAUUGCAAUUGAUUGUUGUAUAUUAAAUAAAUAAAAAUCAAUUAGUCUAUAAUUAUACUCAAAAGAGAAAAAAAAAAAUGCCGCCAUUGAGGGUGACUAUUACACUAACUUCUUACCACCAAAAUUGGUAAAUAAUGAGAAAAGCAUUUCACUUGCUUUUUAAAAGAGGAACUAUAGUUCAUCUGAUGUUGAUAAGAGAAAGUCUAUAGGAAAAAAUGCCAAGUAAAAAUGUGGAAGAAAUAGUAGAAUUAGGAAAUCUUCAUUUUACAACCCCUAAAGAAAUAAUUGAUUCUAGCAAGAAUCAUCAAUGUAUUCUAAAACUCUUAAGCAAAUAUUUGAGGGAAAACUGGACAUUCACAGAAUGCCCAAGCACUAUCCUAUAGAUUAUCUGCUAAUUAUAAAGGAAAUCUUGUCUAUAGAAAGAGGUACUGUGUCUGGCCACCACCACAUUAGCAUCACGAACAGCUGAUAGCCUGGCAUGAUGGGAUGCCAUUUGAAGUACACAUGCCAAAAAUGUUUAAUCUGAAUCCAAACAAGACUCUGGACCAAAUUUCUAGUUUGUAGGGAAGAGUGAGUAGAGGAAAAAGUUAAGAGACACCACAAGGAAACAAUCAGACAAAUCUAGAACAUGAAACAUUCUGAUGAUUCAUCUGGCUUCUUCAGAUUGAUAUUUAACAACUGUUAGGACCUCAGUUUGAGUGAGGUUCUGAGAUAGAAAGAAAUGUGUCAGAAUAAAAGACAACAGUGAGAAAUGAAGUCGUAUUUUGUAUUGGCAAUCUGCUACUUCACAGCUUGAGAAUCAGUCCUAAGAGAGAACUAUAUUUUUUAAAAAUGACAAACAUUCUAUUAUUAGUCAGAAUCCCACACCCAAAAUGAACCUCUCUACCAUUUUACAAGACAUUUAAAGAGAACUAUAAAAUUUAAUAUUUUACAUAAUUAGAUAUUUAUAUUUUCGUUUCAUUCCAAAUAAUCUAUUAUACUAUGAAACAAGUAUUGAUUUUGUCCUCUUAUUUGCAACAGUAUGUAAAUUAACAGAUUCAUUGGAUGUGGUAAGCCCAGGUUCACCUACUUCAGUUCACUGUUCACUGGGUACCUAGAUAAAUGCUUAAAUCAUCAUUGAGAAUAAUAUUCUGCUUGAUCAGAAAUCACUUGGUAAUAUGAUAUUGAUACUUUGAUAAUAAAUUACAUUUAUACUUUUAUGGCGUGUGAUUUCAUAUAUAUUAUCUCAUUUGAUAAUCCUAACAACCUUGUGCUAUGUGCAGGUAGAUCAGGUGUCAUUAUCCCCACUUAGCAGAUGCAGAAGCCAGAGGUCAAAUAAAUUCGUUUGUCCAAAGUCACAUAGAUAAUGAGAAGAAGAACUGGGGGUUUCUGGCUCCAACUCCAGUGCUUUUCUACUAACCAUCCUAGGUAUUCUCUCUAACCAGUAGUCCUGAAACCGUGAUUUCCAGUCUCUAGCUAGUCCCUGACUGAGGCUGCCAGCACAGACAUAGACAACUAAAACAGCCCGGGUAUGACAUCAAGUCUACUGAGUAAGGUAUGCACUUUGGUCACUUUCUGCAAGGCCCAAUGUACUACUUGUCUUAUGAGUCUUGGAUUUAAUCAAAACUCUGUGCUCCCACUGCCUCCAGGAACGACACUGAUUGUGCACCUUUGGCGGUGUACACUACCAUUCGUUCCUUGUCUGCACACUCUGAUUAGCUUGCCCUGUUAUAGCUUACCAUUCAACUGCUUUGUCACUCCUUCCCUUUAAAUGUCCAGGGUGUGGUAAGCAAUGAAGCCUCAUUGUGAGAAUUUUUCCUUUCCGAUUCUGAUUGCUAGUUCCCUAUCAGUAGCAGGAUUUAUUAUUAUAUAAUUAUCAUGAUUUAUUGAUAUGUAGGGUUUAUAGGGGGUCCUGCAGUAAUUUAGAAAUUUAGGGCUGGAGUUGCAGCACAUGUUGAGCCCUUGGCUUCUCUGCAUUUUGACUUCCUAGUAUUCCUUUCUGGAGACACUAUACCUGUUCGCUCUGACCUCCUUUCUGCCCAUUUGCCAUUUCUACAUUUCCCAAAAUGACAUGUUACUCUCCCAGUGGUGAGUCUUGAAAGAUAGAGAGGUUAUGAAAAGUUAGGUGAUCCUUGUGAGAAAGCAGGAGAGUGAGCAAUGAGAUACAGACAGACAAGGACAAAUGGCUGGAAUUAGGGGGGAAAAAGAAAAAAUAUAGACCUAGAAAUAGCCAAAACGGUUUUUAAAUUUUAUCUAGGUCCCAGAAAAGUCAUAAGAUAGUAAAUUAAGAAACAGGAAUGGUGAAUUGAGUUGUUAAAUACUCUACUUCCCUCACCCCAGUUUAAUUUGCAUUUCCAUAUUCUCUAUGAACAUCUAACCUUUCCAUAUACUCUCAGAAUCUCACAUUUUAAAUAGUAUUCAUGAAUUAAAUAUCUUCCUAAAGUAGAUUCCAGGUCCAGAGAGGCCUCACGAACUCUUUUAAAAAGUUUGUUCUUAUUUAGAACUUGGGAGGAAACAAAUGAAUGCUCCGUAAUCUAUUUGGCCAGGCUCUAAAGUCACUUCUUUUCAGAAUUCCCUCAAAUUCCUGAACUAGAAUUUAUUGCUUUGACCAACUUCUUCCUCCCACCAACCAACACACUAAAGUUUCUUUCCAGGCUUUUUGAGUGAUUGCCCACAAUUAGGAACAACCCAGCAUACCCAUUACGUUGUCACUUCCUACCAGAUGUUUUCCAGCUGUUCUCAAUGUCUUUUUGCUAAUGCUCUGCCAUCUGCUACCUUAAUGGUGGCACAAUGGGGAAUGGCUGCUUUGGUGACUUUGCUCUACAAGUUAUAAAGACCUGGCCCACUGCCUCAUCCUGGAAAGUCUGAUAUGCACAUUUGUCACAUUUCUCCAACUAGUUGUUGCAUUUAUUCCAUCUACUAACUAGCCAAUAUUAAACCGGUGUGACAUGAAAUACGUGAGCUCUCACUAUCAAAUCUAAACCUGGAUCAGUCUUCAUUAAUGGACACAUUCACAUCUUAUUUCCAGCUAUCACAGGUCCUGCCAUUAAGACAACAGCUAACAUCUUAUUGCCCAAUCAAUACGAUUCCCUUUCACCUUUCUUUGUAUUUUUUUUUUAACCAGCAUGCCAAUAGCACAUCAGUACAGUAAGCAGUUAUGCUUCCUUUGUGUCACCUUGUCGGUUACACCUUAUACAUGGAAAUCUUAUGUUUGUUUGAUAUUCUCUACAGCUGAAUGAAGACAAAUCUUAGCCCUCUGAGACUGAUGGUAACUUAUCAGAGUCAAAUUCUGCCAAGGCAUAGCAGUUAUCAAUGUAGAUUUCCAGGGACUGUAAAUCAGUGUGUAAUCUAUUUGUAUAUACUUAUUGAGGAGAUUAUUGCUCCCUUCAAUUAUGGAAACUAUUUUUCUGAAACCAUCAUUAUACUAGAUGUGAAAAAGGUUAGUACCAUUAGCCCAUAAUCCCUUCCGAAGGCCCGGUGGGAAUGGUUGUUUUUGGGACUUUGGCAAACAUAACAGUAAGUUCAGGAAAACUGAUAUCCAUACUAAUUACAAUGUACUUGUCUCCAGUAAUCUAUAUUUUUAAUUAAUUAUUUUAAGAUUUGAGCUGUCACCACAUGAUAACUCCAUGUCUUAUCUUCCAAAAUGACACCAACCCUCGAUGGCUGUCUUAAAUAGACAGCUUGUUUAAAGUAUUUGCGCUUAUGGUCACAAGCCAGAUCUACUUGCAGUACAGUCAAAAUACAAAUCUAGGACCAAAAGAGGAUGUUAAUAUCAUCCCUGACAGCACAAACACAUGUUCUUUGGUUUCAUAACACUAUUUUUACUUGAACAGGUACCUUCUUCCCCAUUCCAGCUUAUAUUUAUCAGAAAUUAAUGAAAAUGUCAAUCUUUUAUUUGAUAAAGCAAUAAGAUCUCAAACAGCAACUUCAUGUUUUACUUGGAGCAGCCAUGAAUGUAGCAACAGUGGAAUCACCAUGUGCUAAAAGUUCACUCAUAUCCACUGUAGUCAAUAAACGUACUUACUGGUUUUACACAUACUUAAAGAGUGUCUUCAACUUACAAAACAUGCUAGUGUCUUGUCAAAUGUGCUUAUCUUUGUAAGGAAUAAAGACAAGGUGCUUCUAGUUAGCGAAGGACACAGAUUCUAACAACUAACUAUAAUACAAAACAGAAUAAUAUAAAAUAAAUAAGAACAACAAACUGAAACUCUGGUAGUUGGUUGAGAAUUGGAAAAUACUUAAUGGAAGAGGUGGUGUUUUCACUGCAUCUUGGUGAGUAAAUAGAAUUUUGGUCAGUAAACAGGAAAGAAAUAUAGUUAGGCUUUUUUUUUUUUUUUAAAGAAGACUAUAAAUGAACCUACCAAACUCCACUGUGCUUCAUAUAAUCACUGAUAUUUUGCACCCCUAAGAGUGUUAUUUAAGUUUUCAAUGCAGUUAAUUGAAACCCUACUAGAUGCAAAUCAAAAGUUUCAGCCUUAAUUGAGAUAUUUUGAAAAUUGAACCCAUUGCUUCAGGCAGGUGCUACAUGAGAUUCCAUUAAUAUAGGUAAUUAACAUUAGCCUCUGCUUUAAUUAACAUGCAUACUUUAAUUAGCAAAGCAUUAACCAACAUUAAAAAAUCUGAUCUUCAUGCAUCACAAAAAACUGCAAAGUUAUGACUACUAUGUUAUUUUUCUCCAAGGUUGUAAAUCACAAAACAGUGAUCACUUCUGAAGUACACGUCAAAUUUAAAAUAUUAAACAGGGAGAUAUGUACAAUAUGAGUGAAAACAUAAUCAAAAUAAAAAAGGAUGCUAUUUAGAAAUUAUAGAGCCAACAGCUUUCACAUUUUAAACAGGAGUUACAUUGUAAUCUCUCAAUGAUCAUUUGCAAGGCAGGAGACUUUUGGCUUGAAAAAUCCCCAUAGACUGUCAUCUUCCUUAUAUGUAAUAAAUCAAGGACUAUAUUAGAGUACCAUUAUCUAUGUGACCAUCUACCUCCUAACCUCUUCUUAUCCUUCUCAGGGAUCAAAGAAAGCACCAGUUUCUGAAGACAUUUAAUACCUGAGGUCUCAGACUAGCACAAACUUCAUUUUUAAAACAAUCUAUGUUGCCUUGUUUUAUGUUUAAGACCAAAAUGUGUUACACUAGUUCUUUAUUGUCAAUCUACCAUGUGUGGGACCACCAACAAUUAAGGAUGCCUUUUGUUAAAUAUAAAAUUGGCAUUCAUGCUCUUUCCUUACUAUGAUAAUUAGAUGUGCCAACUUUCAAAUCCUGCUCAUAUGCUGUAUAGAUUUUUUUAUUACUUUAAUGAAAACAGCAUCAUCAUUAUAUGGAAUAGAAGUACCAUAGAAAUGGUAUCCAUAUAGAGAUCAUUGUAUUCUUUAAUGCCAAGACAUGAUAAAAUUAUGGUAAAAAAUGGCAAACUUUUAAAAACAUACAUACAUUCACAGAAAAAGUAAUCAUAUCCUUCCUGAUUAAGCAUUAAGAAAAACAAUCAUAAUACUGCAGAUAGAUCAAAAUUAAAAACAACGAAGUCUCUAGUAAGUCCGUACUGGAUAUAAGGCAAUAUUUAGACACAGAGAAAUCUGAAAGACCAUGACAAAAAGUGUCCUGGAUCUCAUAAGCUUUCGUUUAAAUCCAAACUGAAAAUCUCAAAAAUUAGGUCCAUUGUGGUAAAUGCUGGUAUGAUGAGAAAAAAACAGUUAGGGAGCAGCACUCACAGAUUUGUAGGCUCAUUUGCUGCUUUAAGCUGUUACUAACAUUGGAAUUGCUUCCAUUGACUCUAAUGAGCGUUGGGCUUCUCUCUUCUUGUUCCUGCCACUGGCUAUUUUAGCAUCACAGCCACUACAGGGUCAGCAUGAGUCAGCAUCUUCUCUCUACUCCUUUUCAACUAACAAAUGGGGAAAUAAAUGUUUCUUGGGUUUGCAAAGCCAUUCCCCAAGUUACAGUGAUUUUCUUGGCCCUUUUCCCUACGUCAAAUCAGAGCCUGGGCUCCCAGGAGAUCAUGCAGGAACUGGCCAUUCUUCUGGAUCUGUGCUGAGGGCAGUACCCUGUAAAUAGGUGCAAGGACACCUCUCAGUUCUGUUUAAGUGAAUUUGAGGAGUCUUUAUCAAAUUCUCCCCCAUUCCAUAAACUGUAUUAUGACAAAAUUCCAUAUAUUGGAUUGCCGUAUGUCAGUUCUAUCUAUGCUCUGCUAAUUAAAUUCACUUGGGCUUUCACUCAGGAAAGGUAUAAUAUAAGCAGGAUAAACAGAGAGAAGCAUAUUUACAGCCAGGGCUUUAAGAAGCAUAGAACCCUGCUUUAUAAAUGUGUGACAAACCCUCACAAACUUCCCUGUUGUAGGUUUUAAGUUCAUAGGGCCUUCCUGAGAGAAGUCCUUCAAAGAUGUAGGAGUGGAACAAUAGCAUCAACCACUGAGCCAUUUACUUAACUGGGUAUAACACUGAGGCAUUUACUUAACUGUCAAUAAUAUUUAGGACAAUUGCCUAUGAAUGAGAGAUUGCUCUACACUAAACGUAUGUAUUCCUCUUCAUUCUAGGGCAAUGUUUUUCAGAAAGUAGUCCUCAGAUUAUCAGUUUCAGAAUCAGCUGGUACAUUCACUAAAAUGCAGAUUCCCAGGCCCAGUGAGGACUGAAUAAACCUUAGUUUCCCAGGUGAGUCGGUUUUGACUGUCACUCCCAGGUGAUGCUUACUCAGAGUAAAUCUGGAGAACUGCUAAGAAGGAGAGAAACCACUGUCUUCUAGUUCUCGUACUACAGGUGGUGGUCAUGAAAGUGAGCAAAAUAUUCUGUACCUAAUCUCAUAACUCUGUAUAGAUCAUUGUGGGAAAAGAAAAUAGGUUUUGUGGGCGUGCUUAGGCAGGCGGCGGGGCGGCUAGAGUGCCCUGGGGAGGGCUGUGCCGGGUUGCUUUCUACAGCCGCGUCUCGGCCAGCUCUCCUCGCCGUCCCCGGGGCGCUGUGCGUCUCCAGUCCGGGACCGAAGCCGCCUGCCGUAGCGGGCGGCCAGAUCCGCGUCCCACCUCAGCGCCCGGAGGACAUGCGAGAGAGAGAAUGAGCCAGAGGGACACGCUGGUGCAUCUGUUUGCCGGGGUAUGUGGUGGUACAGUGGGAGCUAUUCUGACAUGUCCACUGGAAGUUGUAAAAACACGACUGCAGUCAUCUUCUGUGACACUUUAUAUUUCUGAAGUUCACCUGAACACCAUGGCUAGAGCCAGUGUCAACCGAAUAGUGUCUCAUGGACCUCUUCAUUGCCUAAAGUUGAUCUUGGAAAAAGAAGGGCCACGUUCCUUGUUUAGAGGAUUAGGCCCCAAUUUAGUGGGGGUAGCCCCUUCCAGAACAAUAUACUUUGCUGCUUAUUCAAACUGCAAGGAAAAAUUGAAUGAUGUAUUUGAUCCUGAUUCUACCCAAGUACACAUGAUUUCAGCGGCAAUGGCAGGUUUUACUGCAAUCACAGCAACUAACCCCAUUUGGCUUAUAAAGACUCGGUUACAACUUCAUGCAAGGAACCGUGAGGAAAGGCGAAUGGGUGCUUUUGAAUGUGUUUGUAAAGUGUAUCAGACAGAUGGACUAAAAGGAUUUUAUAGGGGCAUGUCUGCUUCAUAUGCUGGUAUAUAGAGACUGUUACCCAUUUUGUUAUUUAUGAAAGUAUAAAGCAAAAACUACUGGAAUGUAAGACUGCUUCUAUAAUGGAAAAUGAUGAAGAGUCUGUGAAAGAAGCAUCAGAUUUUGUGGGAAUGAUGCUAGCUGCUGCCACCUCAAAAACUUGUGCCACAACUAUAGCAUAUCCACAUGAAGUUGUAAGAACAAGACUAUGUGAAGAGGGAACAAAAUACAGAUCUUUUUUUCAGACACUAGCUUUGCUCGUUCAAGAAGGUGGUUAUGGGUCUCUUUACCGUGGUCUGACAACUCAUCUAGUGAGACAGAUUCCAAACACAGCCAUUAUGAUGGCCACCUAUGAAUUGGUGGUUUACCUACUCAAUGGAUAGCAGCAUGAGGGCUGCUGUACUACA
RNA transcript from Cercocebus atys (sooty mangabey), 9935 nucleotides. It is a transcript of the gene named solute carrier family 25 member 36 pseudogene, with no coding region annotated. The record is from RefSeq and is a predicted model, not a curated record. The transcript has a single exon. Lineage: Eukaryota; Metazoa; Chordata; Mammalia; Primates; Cercopithecidae.